RNAcentral lists this ribosomal RNA (468 nucleotides) under uncultured bacterium. RNAcentral describes it as "partial 16S ribosomal RNA". It matches the Rfam family "Bacterial small subunit ribosomal RNA", at positions 28 to 507 of the family's 1533-position model. The record is from RNAcentral.
GACGAACGCUGGCGGCGUGCUUAACACAUGCAAGUCGAACGGAAAGGCCCUGCUUUUGUGGGGUGCUCGAGUGGCGAACAGGUGAGUAACACGUGAGUAACCUGCCCUUGACUUUGGGAUAACUUCAGGAAACUGGGGCUAAUACCGGAUAGGAGCUCCUGCUCCAUGGUGGGGGUUGGAAAGUUUCGGCGGUUGGGGAUGGACUCGCGGCUUAUCAGCUUGUUGGUGGGGUAGUGGCUUACCAAGGCUUUGACGGGUAGCCGGCCUGAGAGGGUGACCGGCCACAAUGGGACUAAGGUACGGCCCAGACUGGUACGGGAGGCAGCAGGGGGGAGUAUUGCACAGUGGGCGGAAGCCUGAUGCGACAACGCCGCGUGCGGGAUGACGGCCUUCGGGUUGUAAACCGAUUUCGCCUGUGACGAAGCGUGAGUGACGGUAAUGGGUAAAGAAGCACCGGCUAACUACGUG